UCGAGAGGCUUUGGCAAUGGGGGAAACCCUGACCAAGCGACGCCGCGUGGAGGAUGAAGGCCCUUGGGUCGUAAACUCCUUUUGUCGGGGAAGAAAUACGAUCAGGUGAAUAAUCUGGUCGCUUGACGGUACCCGGCGAAUAAGCUCCGGCUAACUCCGUGCCAGCAGCCGCGGUAACACGGGGGGAGCAAGCGUUGUUCGGAAUCACUGGGCGUAAAGGGCGUGUAGGCGGUCAAGUAAGUGGAAUGUGAAAUCCCUCGGCUUACCCGAGGACCUGCAUCCCAAACUGCUUGGCUUGAGUACGGGAGAGGAUGAGGGAAUUCCUGGUGUAGCGGUGAAAUGCGUAGAUAUCAGGAGGAACACCGGUGGCGAAGGCGCUCAUCUGGCCCGAUACUGACGCUGAGGCGCGAAAGCUAGGGGAGCAAACGG
This 429-nucleotide ribosomal RNA is filed under the name uncultured bacterium. RNAcentral's name for it is "bacterial SSU rRNA". It matches the Rfam family "Bacterial small subunit ribosomal RNA", at positions 355 to 775 of the family's 1533-position model. The record is from RNAcentral.